UGUGUGUUAGUGGAAGCGUCUGGAAAGGCGCGCGAUACAGGGUGACAGCCCCGUACACAAAAAUGCACAUGCUGUGAGCUCGAUGAGUAGGGCGGGACACGUGGUAUCCUGUCUGAAUAUGGGGGGACCAUCCUCCAAGGCUAAAUACUCCUGACUGACCGAUAGUGAACCAGUACCGUGAGGGAAAGGCGAAAAGAACCCCGGCGAGGGGAGUGAAAAAGAACCUGAAACCGUGUACGUACAAGCAGUGGGAGCACGCUUAGGCGUGUGACUGCGUACCUUUUGUAUAAUGGGUCAGCGACUUAUAUUCUGUAGCAAGGUUAACCGAAUAGGGGAGCCGAAGGGAAACCGAGUCUUAACUGGGCGUUAAGUUGCAGGGUAUAGACCCGAAACCCGGUGAUCUAGCCAUGGGCAGGUUGAAGGUUGGGUAACACUAACUGGAGGACCGAACCGACUAAUGUUGAAAAAUUAGCGGAUGACUUGUGGCUGGGGGUGAAAGGCCAAUCAAACCGGGAGAUAGCUGGUUCUCCCCGAAAGCUAUUUAGGUAGCGCCUCGUGAAUUCAUCUCCGGGGGUAGAGCACUGUUUCGGCAAGGGGGUCAUCCCGACUUACCAACCCGAUGCAAACUGCGAAUACCGGAGAAUGUUAUCACGGGAGACACACGGCGGGUGCUAACGUCCGUCGUGAAGAGGGAAACAACCCAGACCGCCAGCUAAGGUCCCAAAGUCAUGGUUAAGUGGGAAACGAUGUGGGAAGGCCCAGACAGCCAGGAUGUUGGCUUAGAAGCAGCCAUCAUUUAAAGAAAGCGUAAUAGCUCACUGGUCGAGUCGGCCUGCGCGGAAGAUGUAACGGGGCUAAACCAUGCACCGAAGCUGCGGCAGCGACGCUGAUGCGUUGUUGGGUAGGGGAGCGUUCUGUAAGCCUGCGAAGGUGUGCUGUGAGGCAUGCUGGAGGUAUCAGAAGUGCGAAUGCUGACAUAAGUAACGAUAAAGCGGGUGAAAAGCCCGCUCGCCGGAAGACCAAGGGUUCCUGUCCAACGUUAAUCGGGGCAGGGUGAGUCGACCCCUAAGGCGAGGCCGAAAGGCGUAGUCGAUGGGAAACAGGUUAAUAUUCCUGUACUUGGUGUUACUGCGAAGGGGGGACGGAGAAGGCUAUGUUGGCCGGGCGACGGUUGUCCCGGUUUAAGCGUGUAGGCUGGUUUUCCAGGCAAAUCCGGAAAAUCAAGGCUGAGGCGUGAUGACGAGGCACUACGGUGCUGAAGCAACAAAUGCCCUGCUUCCAGGAAAAGCCUCUAAGCAUCAGGUAACAUCAAAUCGUACCCCAAACCGACACAGGUGGUCAGGUAGAGAAUACCAAGGCGCUUGAGAGAACUCGGGUGAAGGAACUAGGCAAAAUGGUGCCGUAACUUCGGGAGAAGGCACGCUGAUAUGUAGGUGAAGUCCCUUGCGGAUGGAGCUGAAAUCAGUCGAAGAUACCAGCUGGCUGCAACUGUUUAUUAAAAACACAGCACUGUGCAAACACGAAAGUGGACGUAUACGGUGUGACGCCUGCCCGGUGCCGGAAGGUUAAUUGAUGGGGUCAGCGCAAGCGAAGCUCUUGAUCGAAGCCCCGGUAAACGGCGGCCGUAACUAUAACGGUCCUAAGGUAGCGAAAUUCCUUGUCGGGUAAGUUCCGACCUGCACGAAUGGCGUAAUGAUGGCCAGGCUGUCUCCACCCGAGACUCAGUGAAAUUGAACUCGCUGUGAAGAUGCAGUGUACCCGCGGCAAGACGGAAAGACCCCGUGAACCUUUACUAUAGCUUGACACUGAACAUUGAGCCUUGAUGUGUAGGAUAGGUGGGAGGCUUUGAAGUGUGGACGCCAGUCUGCAUGGAGCCGACCUUGAAAUACCACCCUUUAAUGUUUGAUGUUCUAACGUUGACCCGU
RNAcentral lists this ribosomal RNA (1925 nucleotides) under Escherichia coli. RNAcentral's name for it is "partial 23S ribosomal RNA". It matches the Rfam family "Bacterial large subunit ribosomal RNA", at positions 323 to 2236 of the family's 2925-position model. Lineage: Bacteria; Pseudomonadati; Pseudomonadota; Gammaproteobacteria; Enterobacterales; Enterobacteriaceae. The record is from RNAcentral.